RNAcentral lists this long non-coding RNA (530 nucleotides) under Serinus canaria (Common canary). RNAcentral describes it as "lncRNA (ENSSCAG00000001845.1)". Lineage: Eukaryota; Metazoa; Chordata; Aves; Passeriformes; Fringillidae. The record is from RNAcentral.
CCCCAACUUCUCCCUCUGCCCAAAUCCCUCCAGUCCCGCCCCAAAAUUCUCCUUUUUUAGCCCAAAAUCCUCAGUUCUUGCACCAAAAAUCCUCAAUUUUCACCUCAAAAUUCUCAAUUCCCGCCUCAAAAUCCACAAUUCCCACCCCAAAAUCCUCAAUUUCUCCCCCAAAAUCCUCAAUUUCUCCCCAAAAUUCUCAAUUCCCACCCCAAAAUUCUCAAUUCCCACCCCAAAAUCCUCAAUUCUUGCCCCAAAAUCCUCAAUUUCCACCCCAAAAUCCUCAAUUCCCCCCCCCAAAUCCCCUCCCUGUGAAAAAAAAAAAUCUUUUUCCCCCCAAAUCCUUAAUUUCCCCCUCAAAACCCCAAAUGAUCCAACUCCCACCCCAAAUCUCCUCUCCUGACCCCAAAAUCCCCCUGCUCCUCCCCCAAACCCAUCUCCAGACCCCAAAUGGGCCUUUUUUUAACCCAAACCCAAAAUCCUCCCUUUCGCACCCAAAUCCCCUCCCCGCACCCCAAAUCCUCCUUUUCUGA